AUCUAGGCUCUUGCAUCGAUGAAGAACGUAGCGAAAUGCGAUACUUGGUGUGAAUUGCAGAAUCCCGUGAACCAUCGAGUCUUUGAACGCAAGUUGCGCCCGAUGCCAUUAGGUUGAGGGCACGUCUGCCUGGGUGUCACAUAUCGAAUGCCUCCUGCCAAUUUC
This 165-nucleotide ribosomal RNA is filed under the name Lathyrus gmelinii. RNAcentral's name for it is "5.8S ribosomal RNA". The stretch from base 1 to 139 matches the Rfam family "5.8S ribosomal RNA", at positions 18 to 154 of the family's 154-position model. From Rfam's summary of the family: 5.8S ribosomal RNA (5.8S rRNA) is a component of the large subunit of the eukaryotic ribosome. It is transcribed by RNA polymerase I as part of the 45S precursor that also contains 18S and 28S rRNA. Functionally, it is thought that 5.8S rRNA may be involved in ribosome translocation. RNAcentral also lists the same sequence under 4 other names. Lineage: Eukaryota; Viridiplantae; Streptophyta; Magnoliopsida; Fabales; Fabaceae. The record is from RNAcentral.